This 609-nucleotide long non-coding RNA is filed under the name Pongo abelii (Sumatran orangutan). RNAcentral describes it as "lincRNA". Lineage: Eukaryota; Metazoa; Chordata; Mammalia; Primates; Hominidae. The record is from RNAcentral.
AAUGCUGCUGUCUCCAUAAAUAAAGUCCAUGUUAGCCACCUAGAGGAUAAAAUACCACGAGGAGGAGUGGCAAGUUGCCCCUCUUGACAGAUCCUGACACAGAAGCUCACUCUCAGAAGCACAGCUGCCUAGUCAACAAACAGCUGACAAUACAUGUCUGAAGGAGCUCAGCUGGGAACAGAAGAAUGGCCCCACUGAGCCUAGCCUAAGUGGCUGACCAUCUCAAUUAUGAGCUAAUAAGUUUUGGAUGAUUUGUUAUCCUGCCAUACCUAACUAAUACAUGCACUCAGUGCAGAUUGGGUGCCAAGAUUUAAAGACAGUUUGAUUACUAGUCACCUUCUAACAGUGGGCACCCUAAAGGUACUGACUUUUUUCCGGAUUUAAAGUUAAAUGUCUUGUAAGGCAAUGUUGACUAAUGCAGGGAUACUUGUAGACAUGUAUGCAUGUGAUUGGUGCUAUACACACAGUCCCCGCACCACAGGAAAAACCAAGAACGAAGCUGACAUUAUGGCCAGGCAAUAGCAAGUUGCUUUAUCUAUUUUCUUCAUAAUAAAAUUGAUCAAUAUGUGACCUUGAAGACCAGAUUUUUUCCUUUACCUAUUUCAUGCU